GAAGUCGGAAUUGCUAGUAAUGGCAGGUCAGCAUACUGCCGUGAAUACGUUCCCGGGCCUUGUACACACCGCCCGUCACACCAUGAGAGUUGGAGAUACCCGAAGCCUGUGAGCUAACAGAAAUGGAGCAGCAGUCGAAGGUAGAAUCAAUGAUUGGGGUGAAGUCGUAACAAGGUACC
This 179-nucleotide ribosomal RNA is filed under the name uncultured bacterium. Its description in RNAcentral is "partial 16S ribosomal RNA". It matches the Rfam family "Bacterial small subunit ribosomal RNA", at positions 1322 to 1500 of the family's 1533-position model. The record is from RNAcentral.